Molecule: ribosomal RNA, 513 nt
Filed under: uncultured bacterium
Lineage: Bacteria
Description: partial 16S ribosomal RNA
Rfam family: Bacterial small subunit ribosomal RNA
Source: RNAcentral
GACGAACGCUGGCGGCAUGCCUAAUACAUGCAAGUCGAGCGAACAGAUGAAGUGCUUGCACUUCUGACGUUAGCGGCGAACGGGUGAGUAACACGUAAGGAAUCUACCUAUAAGCGGGGGAUAACAUUCGGAAACGGGUGCCAAUACCGCAUAAUAUCUUCUUCCGCAUGGAAGAAGAUUGAAAGACGGCUCUGCUGUCACUUAUAGAUGACCUUGCGGUGCAUUAGUUAGUUGGUGGGGUAACGGCCUACCAAGACGAUGAUGCAUAGCCGGCCUGAGAGGGUGAUCGGCCACAUUGGGACUGAGACACGGCCCAAACACCUACGGGAGGAAGCAGUAGGGAAUCUUCCGCAAUGGGCGAAAGCCUGACGGAGCAAUGCCGCGUGAGUGAAGAAGGCCUUCGGGUCGUAAAACUCUGUUAUAAGAGAAGAACAAAUUGUAGAGUAACUGCUACAGUCUUGACGGUAUCUUAUCAGAAAGCCACGGCUAACUACGUGCCAGCCGCCGCCGUAA